GAAGCACCAGGAAAACAGGCUUUAUUCUGCUCCACAGACAGCUAUGACUGGCCUUUUACAGAUAACCAAAUCAUUGCUGCUUUAAAAGAAGUAAAUAAGCAACCAACCCUCUCCCUGAAUAUCAGUAGAAAGAGCUAUAAUCUGAUGUGUCAUAACUGACGUCAUGACAUCACAAUACCACCACUGCUAUCAUCCCCCAGCACUGUAAACUGGCUCACACCGAAGACAGUAACAGAUUUUGCAGAAGUAAAAGAUACUAGGAAGGAGAAGGAAAAGAGCACUAGUGUAAGCUUACCACAGGGCAGAGUAUGCAAACAUCCAUCUUCUUGAUGGAGAUUCAGAAUUGCAGCUCAGACAUACUAGAGUGUACUGAAGUGCCUCUCUUUUGAGCACAUUCCUAUGGUGUUUCCCUAUGAGGUCAGACAUUAGCUGCAGGCAAAUGUGGAUAACACAGAUUAAGACACCAUCUCCAGCUCCAUCAAAGCCCCUUUGCAGAUCCCCAAAACGUGCUUGAAGAAGGGAGCAGAUAAGAUUCUCCAGCUCCACACAUUAAGCAGUGAACAAUGACAACACCACAGUGGAUGAGCAGAGGCUCAUCUUAUCCCCUAAGGAAAUUUGCAAACGUG
Long non-coding RNA from Pezoporus flaviventris, 626 nucleotides. RefSeq lists it as uncharacterized. The record is from RefSeq and is a predicted model, not a curated record. NCBI's taxonomy places the organism in Eukaryota, Metazoa, Chordata, Aves, Psittaciformes, Psittacidae. The transcript is spliced from 4 exons.